This 1574-nucleotide ribosomal RNA is filed under the name Salmonella enterica. RNAcentral's name for it is "partial 23S ribosomal RNA". It matches the Rfam family "Bacterial large subunit ribosomal RNA", at positions 1 to 1618 of the family's 2925-position model. The record is from RNAcentral. Lineage: Bacteria; Pseudomonadati; Pseudomonadota; Gammaproteobacteria; Enterobacterales; Enterobacteriaceae.
GGUUAAGCGACUAAGCGUACACGGUGGAUGCCCUGGCAGUCAGAGGCGAUGAAGGGCGUGCUAAUCUGCGAUAAGCGCCGGUAAGGUGAUAUGAACCGUUAUAACCGGCGAUACCCGAAUGGGGAAACCCAGUGUGAUUCGUCACACUAUCAUUAACUGAAUCCAUAGGUUAAUGAGGCGAACCGGGGGAACUGAAACAUCUAAGUACCCCGAGGAAAAGAAAUCAACCGAGAUUCCCCCAGUAGCGGCGAGCGAACGGGGAGGAGCCCAGAGCCUGAAUCAGCAUGUGUGUUAGUGGAAGCGUCUGGAAAGGCGCGCGAUACAGGGUGACAGCCCCGUACACAAAAGCGCAUGUGCUGUGAGCUCGAUGAGUAGGGCGGGACACGUGGUAUCCUGUCUGAAUAUGGGGGGACCAUCCUCCAAGGCUAAAUACUCCUGACUGACCGAUAGUGAACCAGUACCGUGAGGGAAAGGCGAAAAGAACCCCGGCGAGGGGAGUGAAAAAGAACCUGAAACCGUGUACGUACAAGCAGUGGGAGCACCCUUUGGGUGUGACUGCGUACCUUUUGUAUAAUGGGUCAGCGACUUAUAUUCUGUAGCAAGGUUAACCGAAUAGGGGAGCCGGAGGGAAACCGAGUCUUAACCGGGCGUUAAGUUGCAGGGUAUAGACCCGAAACCCGGUGAUCUAGCCAUGGGCAGGUUGAAGGUUGGGUAACACUAACUGGAGGACCGAACCGACUAAUGUUGAAAAAUUAGCGGAUGACCUGUGGCUGGGGGUGAAAGGCCAAUCAAACCGGGAGAUAGCUGGUUCUCCCCGAAAGCUAUUUAGGUAGCGCCUCGUGAAUUCAUCUCCGGGGGUAGAGCACUGUUUCGGCUAGGGGGCCAUCCCGGCUUACCAACCCGAUGCAAACUGCGAAUACCGGAGAAUGUUAUCACGGGAGACACACGGCGGGUGCUAACGUCCGUCGUGAAGAGGGAAACAACCCAGACCGCCAGCUAAGGUCCCAAAGUCAUGGUUAAGUGGGAAACGAUGUGGGAAGGCCCAGACAGCCAGGAUGUUGGCUUAGAAGCAGCCAUCAUUUAAAGAAAGCGUAAUAGCUCACUGGUCGAGUCGGCCUGCGCGGAAGAUGUAACGGGGCUAAACCAUGCACCGAAGCUGCGGCAGCGACACUGUGUGUUGUUGGGUAGGGGAGCGUUCUGUAAGCCUGUGAAGGUGUGUCGUGAGGCAUGCUGGAGGUAUCAGAAGUGCGAAUGCUGACAUAAGUAACGAUAAAGCGGGUGAAAAGCCCGCUCGCCGGAAGACCAAGGGUUCCUGUCCAACGUUAAUCGGGGCAGGGUGAGUCGACCCCUAAGGCGAGGCCGAAAGGCGUAGUCGAUGGGAAACGGGUUAAUAUUCCCGUACUUGGUGUUACUGCGAAGGGGGGACGGAGAAGGCUAUGUUGGCCGGGCGACGGUUGUCCCGGUUUAAGCGUGUAGGUGUGUGUUCCAGGUAAAUCCGGUUCACUUUAACACUGAGGCGUGACGACGAGGCACUACGGUGCUGAAGCAACAAAUGCCCUGCUUCCAGGAAAAGC